UUAACACAUGCAAGUCGAACGGUGAACACGGAGCUUGCUCUGUGGGAUCAGUGGCGAACGGGUGAGUAACACGUGAGCAACCUGCCCCUGACUCUGGGAUAAGCGCUGGAAACGGGCGUCUAAUACUGGAUAUGUGACGUGACCGCAUGGUCUGCGUCUGGAAAGAAUUUCGGUUGGGGAUGGGCUCGCGGCCUAUCAGCUUGUUGGUGAGGUAAUGGCUCACCAAGGCGUCGACGGGUAGCCGGCCUGAGAGGGUGACCGGCCACACUGGGACUGAGACACGGCCCAGACUCCUACGGGAGGCAGCAGUGGGGAAUAUUGCACAAUCGGCGCAAGCCUGAUGCAGCAACGCCGCGUGAGGGACGACGGCCUUCGGGUUGUAAACCUCUUUUAGCAGGGAAGAAGCGAAAGUGACGGUACCUGCAGAAAAAGCGCCGGCUAACUACGUGCCAGCAGCCGCGGUAAUACGUAGGGCGCAAGCGUUAUCCGGAAUUAUUGGGCGUAAAGAGCUCGUAGGCGGUUUGUCGCGUCUGCUGUGAAAUCCGGAGGCUCAACCUCCGGCCUGCAGUGGGUACGGGCAGACUAGAGUGCGGUAGGGGAGAUUGGAAUUCCCUGGUGUAGCGGUGGAAUGCGCAGAUAUGCAGGAGGAACCACCCGAUUGGCGAAGGCAGAUUCUUCUGGGCCCGUAACUA
RNAcentral lists this ribosomal RNA (692 nucleotides) under Microbacterium oxydans. RNAcentral's name for it is "bacterial SSU rRNA". It matches the Rfam family "Bacterial small subunit ribosomal RNA", at positions 48 to 742 of the family's 1533-position model. The record is from RNAcentral. Lineage: Bacteria; Bacillati; Actinomycetota; Actinomycetes; Micrococcales; Microbacteriaceae.